CUGGAUACGACCCUUACAGGCAUCUGUUGGGGGUGGAAAGAUUUAUCGGUGAAGGAUGGGCUCGCGGCCUAUCAGGUAGUUGGUGAGGUAACGGCUCACCAAGCCGACGACGGGUAGCCGGCCUGAGAGGGUGACCGGCCACACUGGGACUGAGACACGGCCCAGACUCCUACGGGAGGCAGCAGUGGGGAAUAUUGCACAAUGGGCGAAAGCCUGAUGCAGCAACGCCGCGUGAGGGAUGACGGCCUUCGGGUUGUAAACCUCUUUUAGUAGGGAAGAAGCGUAAGUGACGGUACCUGCAGAAAAAGCACCGGCUAACUACGUGCCAGCAGCCGCGGUAAUACGUAGGGUGCAAGCGUUGUCCGGAAUUAUUGGGCGUAAAGAGCUCGUAGGCGGCUUGUCGCGUCUGCUGUGAAAACCCGGAGCUCAACUUCGGGCCUGCAGUGGGUACCGGCAGGCUAGAGUGCGGUAGGGGAGAUUGGAAUUCCUGGUGUAGCG
RNAcentral lists this ribosomal RNA (498 nucleotides) under uncultured bacterium. RNAcentral's name for it is "bacterial SSU rRNA". It matches the Rfam family "Bacterial small subunit ribosomal RNA", at positions 169 to 680 of the family's 1533-position model. The record is from RNAcentral.